This is a long non-coding RNA of Eurytemora carolleeae, 2180 nucleotides long. RefSeq lists it as uncharacterized. The record is from RefSeq and is a predicted model, not a curated record. The transcript has 4 exons. NCBI's taxonomy places the organism in Eukaryota, Metazoa, Arthropoda, Copepoda, Calanoida, Temoridae.
UUGUAUUGUCUCAACAACGUAUUGUAUGGUUGGUGCCAUAAAUGUCGGGCAAACUUUCAGCAGGAAUACAAAAAGGUUGUUGGGAAUAAAUGCACUUAUUGUGGAGGGGAUAUUGAAGACGAUUACCCUACAGUUGGAAUUCUCUUAUCCUUUAUAUUCCUACCCCUGGGUAUAGCGGUCUGCUGCUUCCUCAAAGAGAGAAAAUGUGUCAUGUGCUCCAGAUGUGUCAUUUAAAAAUACAUCAAAAUUCACUCAAAGUGCAUCAGUCAAAAAAUGCACCUUCUGGUCAAAAUCUGUCAUUUCCAAAGAAAAUACUGAAAAUGCAUUUUGAUAGAUGCUUUAAUGGAGUAAAGACCAGGUGUAAAAUACAUUGAAGUGAUGGAAAAAGUGAAGUUUAAAACAGUUAAGAAUAAAAUAAAAUAAGUCAAUGGAAGGUUAUGCUACAAGAUAUGUUCAUGUUGAAAUGUGGAAAAUAUUGUUGUAAAAUUUAAAGUUAUAAUUAACUCUUGAAAAAAAAUCAUAUUAAAAGUGUCAUGUAAUGACAAUUCUUAUACACACUACUGAAAAAACACACUAAGAAAGUCAAUCGUUGUUAUUAUUGUUAUUAAAAUUAAGCUUGUCAUUUUAUCUGUAAAUUAUGACUCGAACAUUCCUUCUAAUUUACAACAGUACCCUGACAAGCUUUGACUUAUGAGGAAUAAUGAGAUAUCCAUAAUUUUAAAUUUAAAAUGGGUUAUUUUCAAUGGUGGUUUCUCUAUAAAGUGACAGUUUCUUUCUACUGAAACAAUGGAGAAAUUUAACACUUUUCAAGCUAAAAACGAAAAGUUUUCUUUAAUGGAUAAAUUUACAAACAGAAGAACACACCCUUUAACCCUGUGUGAUGUACAAUAGUCCUGUAUAAGUUUUCUUUCUUGGAUAAAUUUACAAAUAGAAGAACACUCUCUUUAACCCUGUGUGAUGUACAAUAGUCCUGUAUAAGUUUUCUUUAAUGGAUAACUUUACAAACAGAAGAACACUCCCUUUAACCUUGUGUGAUGCACAAUAGUCCUGUAUAAGUUUUCUUUCUUGGAUAAAUUUACAAAUAGAAGAACACUCUCUUUAACCCUGUGUGAUGUACAAUAGUCCUGUAUAAGUUUUCUUUAAUGGAUAACUUUACAAACAGAAGAACACUCCCUUUAACCUUGUGUGAUGCACAAUAGUCCUGUAUAAGUUUUCUUUCUUGGAUAAAUUUACAAAUAGAAGAACACUCUCUUUAACCCUGUGUGAUGCACAAUUGUCCUGUAUAAGUUUUCUUUAUUGGAUAAAUUUACAAACAGAAGAACACUCCCUUUAACCCUGUGUGAUGCACAAUAGUCCUGUAUAAGUUUUCUUUAUUGGAUGAAUUUACAAAUAGAAGAACACUCCCUUUAACCCUGUAUGAUGUACAAUAGUCCUGUAUAAGUUUUCUUUCUUGGAUAAAUUUACAAACAGAAAAUAAUAAAAUGUAUCUUAAGAUGAACUACAUGUGAUUUAUAGAUAUUACUGUAUUACAACUAGAUAAGUGAUUUCAAUUCCAAGAUGUAAUUACAAGUGACCCUCCGUUUAUAGAUUAACAACGAUAUCUUCAUUCUCAAAGUUUUUAACUUAGAAAAUUGAUUUUUUUCAACUGCGGGGUUUCCAUAAAAUGACUUGUGGAUUCCAGAAAUUAUAAAGGAUCUGCCAGGAUCAAAGACUCGGCAGUCUAGAAAAACGACGUUAUCUUCAACAUUAUUAAUCAGCAAAAAGUUUAAAGGGACUGUUGGCGUACUUUAAGAGAUCCUCCAAGCAAAAAGUUCAACGCUCGAUUCACAAUGGUACCCUGGAAACCUUUUUCUGAUAAAUACUGGGAAAGAUAUAGUUUAUUAUUAUUUAUUCGGAUAUUGUUUCCUGCAGUGGAAAUGCGAAAGUUAGUUUUACUAUUUUGCUAUUUUCCCUGACUCAACCCCUGUUGUAUGGUUACGUAAAAUAUUUAAUAUAUAAUAUGUAUGUUGAUAGAUAUAUUUACUAUAUUGUAUAUAAUGUAAUAGAUAAAUAUUGCUUUAUUAUCUCAGUAGAGUGAUAUGAGCAUAAAAAACUGCAGUAUUUAUUUUAUAGAUCUAAAAAGACAAGUUUAUAAGAAAAACGCUUAUAUAUUAUUGCAGAAAUAAAUGUUUAAGAUUUUA